GCUCACAGAAUCACCAGGAAGAGGAACACGCAGACCUUCCAAAGGCACAGGAACAAAAGGAAGAACCCCAGGCAAAAUCACUCCCCAGAACUACUGCUGAGGCCCUGCUGGCUCCUGGGUGUUGCCCAAAGAUACCUACCGGGAUCACUUGAUGGUCCAUGGCACUAUGGACUCUGGAGGGAGACCUUUGUAAUAAAUCCCAGCUCUGCAGCUGACUAGCUGUGCGACCUGGGGUAAGAAACAUUAUGUCUUCAUGCCUUGGUUUGUUCAUCUGUAGAAGGGGUGUAACAACAAUGUUACCCUCAUAGGUAAGGAAUGAAUGAGAAGUGCAUGGAUGCCACUUGGCAGACGGUUAAGUGCUCAAUAGAUGGGAAGCAGUAGCAGCAGCGACA
Molecule: long non-coding RNA, 392 nt
Filed under: Sus scrofa (pig)
Lineage: Eukaryota; Metazoa; Chordata; Mammalia; Artiodactyla; Suidae
Description: lncRNA (ENSSSCG00025052816.1)
Source: RNAcentral